This 253-nucleotide ribosomal RNA is filed under the name uncultured bacterium. RNAcentral describes it as "partial 16S ribosomal RNA". It matches the Rfam family "Bacterial small subunit ribosomal RNA", at positions 524 to 776 of the family's 1533-position model. The record is from RNAcentral.
UACGUAGGGUGCGAGCGUUGUCCGGAAUUACUUGGCGUAAAGCGCACGUAGGCGGCUUGGUAUGUCGGGUGUGAAAUCCCCGGGCUCAACCUGGGAACUGCAUUUGUGACUGCACAGCUGGAGUGCGGCAGAGGGGGAUGGAAUUCCGCGUGUAGCAGUGAAAUGCGUAGAUAUGCGGAGGAACACCGAUGGCGAAGGCGAUCCCCUGGGCCUGCACUGACGCUCAUGCACGAAAGCGUGGGGAGCAAACAGG